This is a long non-coding RNA of Lathyrus oleraceus (garden pea), 674 nucleotides long. RefSeq lists it as uncharacterized. The transcript is spliced from 3 exons. The record is from RefSeq and is a predicted model, not a curated record. NCBI's taxonomy places the organism in Eukaryota, Viridiplantae, Streptophyta, Magnoliopsida, Fabales, Fabaceae.
UUUGUAAUCCAUGUUAUAUGAAUGAAAAUGUUAUAUUUUUGCCGUUUCACACACUUGUAUUCAUCAUUUUGGUUGGUUUUGUUAUUCUGAAAUUGAAGUGAUGUUCAUCUGACGAUGAAUGAGAAUCUGUGAUGGAGACAAUAUCAGAGGUGGAUAAAUUUUGCGAAAGUUAUGCAAAAAGUAAACUUCUUAACAAAUAUGUUGUUGAGAAUAACAAGCUGAAAGAUAUGACGGUUGUUACUGAACCUGACCAUGAUGAGUGAUUUGAGAAAGAAACUGGUUGACUUUAAGGAAAGUGUUGUUUUGAAGGAAAAUGUUGAAGAGGUGAACAAAAUAGUCAAGGGUGAAGUUAUGAAGACGAAGGAAGUUGUUGAUAGUGGGAAUCUAUGCAAUACUCAAUAUGUUUCGGAGAACAUGAUAAUUAAUCCCAAAAGGAAAGCAAACAAUGUCUUGGCCUAAACUGCUGGAGAUAAAAAUGUUUGAUCUUGAAGUUGAGAAGACUUACAACUGUAUCAUUCAUACUAAUAAAAGGAACAAUGCUAGAAAGUUCAUUGACAGUGGUUGCUAUGAAUUCGCCAAAACAAAGAAGUCUUGUAAGGGGGAUGUGUUGGCAUUUAAGAUCUACCGCUUUUCAAGAAUCAUUUAUGUUCGAUCGAGGAAAAGUUGAUGUCUAG